CCUACGGGUGGCUGCAGUGGGGGAUAUUGCACAAUGGGGGAAACCCUGAUGCAGCGACGCCGCGUGGGUGAAGAAGCGCCUCGGCGCGUAAAGCCCUGUCAGCAGGGAAGAAAAUGACGGUACCUGAAGAAGAAGCCCCGGCUAACUACGUGACAGCCGCCGCGGUAAUACGUAGGGGGCAGGCGUUAUCCGGAUUUACUGGGUGUAAAGGGGGCGCAGAGGGCGAAGGAAGCCAGGAGUUAAAGCCCGGGGGCCAACCCCGGGACUGCUGUUGGAACUGCGUGGCUGGAGUGCAGGAGGGGCAGGCGGAAUGCGUGGUGUAGCGGUGAAAUGCGUAGAUAUCAGGAGGAACACCGGUGGCGAAGGCAGCCUGCUGGACUGCAACUGACGUUGAGGCCCGAAAGCGUGGGGAGCAAACAGGAUUAGAUACCCCUGUAGUC
RNAcentral lists this ribosomal RNA (440 nucleotides) under uncultured bacterium. Its description in RNAcentral is "partial 16S ribosomal RNA". It matches the Rfam family "Bacterial small subunit ribosomal RNA", at positions 338 to 795 of the family's 1533-position model. The record is from RNAcentral.